GGCCUGUAGCUCAAUGGUUAGAACUGGCCGCUCAUAACGGUCUGGUUCCCGGUUCGAGCCUGGGCGGGAUC
This 71-nucleotide transfer RNA is filed under the name Microvirga aerophila. Its description in RNAcentral is "tRNA-Met". It matches the Rfam family "tRNA". Rfam says of the family: Transfer RNA (tRNA) molecules are approximately 80 nucleotides in length. Their secondary structure includes four short double-helical elements and three loops (D, anti-codon, and T loops). The record is from RNAcentral. Lineage: Bacteria; Pseudomonadati; Pseudomonadota; Alphaproteobacteria; Hyphomicrobiales; Methylobacteriaceae.